Long non-coding RNA from Chinchilla lanigera (long-tailed chinchilla), 687 nucleotides. RefSeq lists it as uncharacterized. Lineage: Eukaryota; Metazoa; Chordata; Mammalia; Rodentia; Chinchillidae. The transcript is spliced from 2 exons. The record is from RefSeq and is a predicted model, not a curated record.
AGCACCUGGGGGAGAGGUCAGCACCGAUCAGGCCCGGCUCCGCCCCCCAGGGCCCCGGCCACCGUGCAGCCGGGCACUGCAGGUUGGCGCCUCCGGGCAGGGACAGAACCUGCCCCGGCCCCCACCCCGAGGGGUCGGGGUGACCCGGAUGAGAGCCGCCCCGCCCCUUGCACAGGCGCCCGGGCGGGCGGAGGGGCGGUGACGGGGCGGGGCGCCGCGAUGCCCACCCCCGCCGGCCUGUCCGCGCCUUAUUAGGCCUGCGAGGCCGCAGGGGCGGAGCGGACCCCCGCCCUCUGGGUGUCAGCCCUCGGGGUGGGGGGGUCAUGUGUUGCGGCAGGCGAGGAGACAGCGGGAGCGCGGAUUUCCGAGACCCUAAAAACGAUGUGGAUGCCAGGCCAGGGGCCAUGCUGGGUUGAUUUCACCUCUGAGAUCAUCUGUGAGUCGAAGCUGCAGUCCGAAGUUGCACGGAUGGUGUCCUGAGCCUUGGAACGGAGAUCGCGCCUGUCUGCGGUUCAGUUUUCCCAAGGAGGUGGGCUUUUCCCCAUCUCCCACGGGCGCCCUCCUCCACCCGUCACCCCAGCGCUCCUCUGGACCUGUGCCAGAUUCUGCAAGUUCCCCUACAAAAGCAGCUUCUUCAAGUGGUGCUUCCUCCCCUGCCUGCAGCAGAAUAAACUGUUUUCUGAGGUC